This is a non-coding RNA of Pelobates cultripes (western spadefoot toad), 250 nucleotides long. The record is from the annotation of a GenBank genome assembly. NCBI's taxonomy places the organism in Eukaryota, Metazoa, Chordata, Amphibia, Anura, Pelobatidae.
UACCGUAUAUACUCGUGUAUAAGUCGAUCUCAUGUAUAAGUCGAGUGCAGUUUUGUGACCAACAAUUGUGAAAUAUGCUAUGCCUCGUGGAUAAGUCGAGGGUAAAUCUUGGGGCUAUGAAAUUCUGUGAUUUUUUUUCUGCAUUAUAUAUACACACACUCAUACAAACACACACUCUGCAUUAUAUACACACACUCUGUGUAUAUAAUGCAGAGUGUGUGUUUGUGUAGUGUGUGUGAACUGGGUGGGG